ACCAAUGAACAAAUACCGAGUCAACAAAGCUUGGUAAGUAAUAUUCAGCCAUCGAAGAAAAGAAAAACGAGCAGUAAGAAAGAAAACAUCACCUCAUUGGGAGGAGCUGAAAUCAAUAAUCUUAAUAGGGGAGAGUACAACCAUUUAUGGCACUUAGCUGAACUCCAAAGAGUAGGAAACAUAGGAAAUGCCACGAUGCAGUUCCCGGCACCACAAAUUUUAUCUUAUGGAAACAUUAGCAGCGUAUAUGGAACACCUUAUGUUCAUUCUGGGAAUAUUGCACCUGCACCAGGAGGACUCCCUGAACAUUUUGAAAGUUUCUCGACUGCAUUUGGAGUACCCCAUCCAUGGAGAAGUCCAUAUUUGGAGAGUUCUGCACCAACGUACCAGGAUACCAGGAAGCGGAGGAUUUAU
This is a long non-coding RNA of Papaver somniferum (opium poppy), 414 nucleotides long. RefSeq lists it as uncharacterized. The transcript has 3 exons. The record is from RefSeq and is a predicted model, not a curated record. Lineage: Eukaryota; Viridiplantae; Streptophyta; Magnoliopsida; Ranunculales; Papaveraceae.